GACGAACGCUGGCGGCGUGCCUAAUACAUGCAAGUUGAGCGCUGAAGGUUGGUACUUGUACCAACUGGAUGAGCAGCGAACGGGUGAGUAACGCGUGGGGAAUCUGCCUUUGAGCGGGGGACAACAUUUGGAAACGAAUGCUAAUACCGCAUAAAAACUUUAAACACAAGUUUUAAGUUUGAAAGAUGCAAUUGCAUCACUCAAAGAUGAUCCCGCGUUGUAUUAGCUAGUUGGGGAGGUAAAGGCUCACCAAGGCGAUGAUACAUAGCCGACCUGAGAGGGUGAUCGGCCACAUUGGGACUGAGACACGGCCCAAACUCCUACGGGAGGGAGCAGUAGGGAAUCUUCGGGAAUGGAGCAAAGUCUGACCGAGCAACGCCGCGUGAGGGGAGAAGGUUUUCCGAUCGUAAAACUCUGUUGGUAGGGAAGAACGUUGGUGGGAGUGGAAAGCGCAUCAAGUGACGGUAACUACCCAGAAAGGGACGGCUAACUACGUG
RNAcentral lists this ribosomal RNA (497 nucleotides) under uncultured bacterium. RNAcentral's name for it is "partial 16S ribosomal RNA". It matches the Rfam family "Bacterial small subunit ribosomal RNA", at positions 28 to 507 of the family's 1533-position model. The record is from RNAcentral.